Molecule: ribosomal RNA, 390 nt
Filed under: uncultured eukaryote
Lineage: Eukaryota
Description: partial 18S ribosomal RNA
Rfam family: Eukaryotic small subunit ribosomal RNA
Source: RNAcentral
CAGUAGCGUAUAUUAAAGUUGUUGCAGUUAAAAAGCUCGUAGUUGGAUUUCUGGUUUGAUACGUCUGGCCCGCCGGGGUUACCCGUGUGAGUUGCCGGUUUUGUUUAUCUACCAUCCUUCUAGUCAGUGCCCAGUUCUUUAUUGAGUUGGUGUCGUGAACUAGAUCUUUUACUUUGAAGAAAUUAGAGUGUUCAAAGCAGGCUUACGCUUGAAUAUAUUAGCAUGGAAUAAUAAUCUAGGACUUUGGUUCUAUUUUGUUGGUUUCUAGGACUGAAGUAAUGAUUGAUAGGGAUAGUUGGGGGUGCUAGUAUUCAGCGGCCAGAGGUGAAAUUCUUGGAUUCGCUGAAGACUAACUUAUGCGAAAGCAUUCACCAAGGAUGUCUUCUUUAA